Non-coding RNA from Kogia breviceps (pygmy sperm whale), 1025 nucleotides. The record is from RefSeq and is a predicted model, not a curated record. NCBI's taxonomy places the organism in Eukaryota, Metazoa, Chordata, Mammalia, Artiodactyla, Physeteridae.
AGAAUCAGGAGGCCAGCCUAGAUUGCUGCGCUCCAAAACCCACACUUCGCAAUGCGGUUUUACUGACUUCCUGGAGGCCCUUCUGCUCUCUCGUUUUUCUCCUUCCUCCUCCUCCUCCUCUUUUUCUUUCCUCUCUCUCUCCUUCUCUUUCAUUUUCAGUUAUUUUGACACUCCAGGUUUUAUUCUGGAGAUGCAAAUCUGCCAGAAACCUGAACUUCAGGUAAGGUAUUUCUGCUAUGUGCUUUUAUACUUGCCCUCAGGUGGUCUACAAUUUGGCUGAAGACUUGGGACAGGAGAUACACUGUGAGAGAACUGGAAGAGAUAAUUCCUAACUCGGUGACCGAUCACAGCGCCAAUGCAGUGAUUUACCUCUUCAUGACUUCUCGGCUGGAUUACCAUAAUAACCUCUCCUGGGUCUCCAACCUCCAUCCCCUCGAUCCACUCUUCAAACUGUGGCCACAGUGAACUUUCACAAAUGCAAGUAGGUCCACUCUGCCUUAAUAUCCUACCCUCAAGAGAGAACCCAGUGCCAGUUCCCUCGGAUGUACACCCGCAAGCCUUCUGUACGAAUAAAGUCACCCUGAGCUCUAGAAUGUAGAUAAAAGCGCUUCCAGCCCUCGUCUCACAGGUAUGGAAAUGCAGUGCCUUCAUUUCUCUUCUUCUUUACCUUAGAAACCGGACUCGGCUCUGGAUCCAACCUCACCUUGAUUCACCUGUUUCUCGUUUGGUCAGAAUACCUUCAGUCUAACUGUAUAGUACAUGAAAUUGGAAGUUCUGACAGACUCACCAAGAUACAUCCCAAGAGCAAAGAGCUGGUGGUGUCCUUAGGGAGAAGAAGUGGAAUUCAAAGAGACUGACCGCAGUCAAAAGAAACUCUUUCUUUGAGGGCGACCCCGUGGUACCUCAGAGCAGCUCAGAGCAGCUUCAGCUUCUCUUUGUAACCGAGGGAAGGCGGGCGUUCCGCUGAGCUCUAACAUUCUAGGAGUUGAGGAUGAGUGAGCUUGGAAGCUGGUGCCAGCUACGUA